This 397-nucleotide ribosomal RNA is filed under the name uncultured bacterium. RNAcentral describes it as "partial 16S ribosomal RNA". It matches the Rfam family "Bacterial small subunit ribosomal RNA", at positions 523 to 918 of the family's 1533-position model. The record is from RNAcentral.
AUACGUAGGGGGCGAGCGUUGCCCGGAAUGAUUGGGCGUAAAGGGCGCGUAGGCGGCCCGGUAAGUCUGGAGUGAAAGUCCUGUUUUUAAGAUGGGAAUUGCUUUGGAUACUGUCGGGCUUGAGUGCAGGAGAGGUCAGUGGAAUUCCGAGUGUAGCGGUGAAAUGCGUAGAGAUUGGGAGGAACACCAGUGGCGAAGGCGACCUACUGGACUGUAACUGACGUUGAGGCGCGAAAGUGUGGGGAGCAAGCAGGAUUAGAUACCCUCGUAGUCCACACUGUGAGCGAUGAAUGCAAGGUGGACGUUGUCUCGAGCCCUUGUGUGCCGGACACCAAACAAUUAGCAUUCCGCCUCGGGAGUGCGGCAUCACGGUUGCAACUCACAGAUGUGGACAGGG